GUUUUCCAUGUGGGCCGCAGAGAUUUUGCGCUUGAAUAUCAAACGCUGCAAAGGGGGGCGGGGCGGGAAAAUCAAUUACGUGUACGCGUCGCAAACGGAUGUGGCAGACUACAACAGCAACACCAGCAAACACCAGCUAUACCAUCAGCUUUACCAUCCAAAGCGGCAACACCAGCAACAUCAACAUUGCCACUUUAAGCCGGAAAUGUGCGACAACCACAAGAGCUGGACGGGAUUAGGCAGCGGAGCAAGUCGAGGGUCAAGCUCCAUUCCACUCCUCGGAUCUCUGGAGCGACCACGUGCCUGACAUUUCAAUUAAAUUGCCAAAAAAUAUCUAUACGCUGCGAGAUUUAUAUCCCGAACACACGCACCAAAAACUUUAAGCCCGAAAAAUGCAAACGAAUAAAUUGCGCUUCUUUGGC
This is a non-coding RNA of Drosophila melanogaster (fruit fly), 422 nucleotides long. The record is from Ensembl. Lineage: Eukaryota; Metazoa; Arthropoda; Insecta; Diptera; Drosophilidae.